Molecule: unclassified non-coding RNA, 331 nt
Filed under: soil metagenome
Description: partial contains 5.8S ribosomal RNA, internal transcribed spacer 2, and large subunit ribosomal RNA
Rfam family: 5.8S ribosomal RNA (bases 1-120)
Source: RNAcentral
GAUGAAGAACGCAGCGAAAUGCGAUAAGUAGUGUGAAUUGCAGAAUUCAGUGAAUCAUCGAAUCUUUGAACGCACAUUGCGCCCUUUGGUAUUCCUUAGGGCAUGCCUGUUCGAGCGUCAUUUAAACCUUCAAGCUAAGCUUGGUGUUGGGUGACUGUCCGCCUCACGGCGGACUCGCCUCAAAAUUAUUGGCGGCCGGUACAUUGGCUUCGAGCGCAGCAGAAACGCGAACUCGGGCCCGUCGUAUUGGCUCCCAGAAGCUAUCUUCACAAUUUUGACCUCGGAUCAGGUAGGAUACCCGCUGAACUUAAGCAUAUCAAUAAGCGGAGGA